RNAcentral lists this ribosomal RNA (465 nucleotides) under Vreelandella stevensii. Its description in RNAcentral is "partial 16S ribosomal RNA". It matches the Rfam family "Bacterial small subunit ribosomal RNA", at positions 338 to 795 of the family's 1533-position model. The record is from RNAcentral. Lineage: Bacteria; Pseudomonadati; Pseudomonadota; Gammaproteobacteria; Oceanospirillales; Halomonadaceae.
CCUACGGGGGGCAGCAGUGGGGAAUAUUGGACAAUGGGCGAAAGCCUGAUCCAGCCAUGCCGCGUGUGUGAAGAAGGCCUUCGGGUUGUAAAGCACUUUCAGUGGGGAAGAAAGCCUUGGGGCUAAUACCCUCGAGGAAGGACAUCACCCACAGAAGAAGCACCGGCUAACUCCGUGCCAGCAGCCGCGGUAAUACGGAGGGUGCGAGCGUUAAUCGGAAUUACUGGGCGUAAAGCGCGCGUAGGCGGUCUGAUAAGCCGGUUGUGAAAGCCCCGGGCUCAACCUGGGAACGGCAUCCGGAACUGUCAGGCUAGAGUGCAGGAGAGGAAGGUAGAAUUCCCGGUGUAGCGGUGAAAUGCGUAGAGACCGGGAGGAAUACCAGUGGCGAAGGCGGCCUUCUGGACUGACACUGACGCUGAGGUGCGAAAGCGUGGGUAGCAAACAGGAUUAGAUACCCCAGUAGUC